Long non-coding RNA from Brienomyrus brachyistius, 1083 nucleotides. RefSeq lists it as uncharacterized. The record is from RefSeq and is a predicted model, not a curated record. Lineage: Eukaryota; Metazoa; Chordata; Actinopteri; Osteoglossiformes; Mormyridae. The transcript is spliced from 3 exons.
UUGUUCAAUCAUGUACUGUAAUCGUUGUAUUGUGGGAAAGAAAAAUUAAUAAUGUAAUGUGGUAUAUCUGUAAUGAUUUUACAAAGCAUGUUAUGUUUUAAUGUUUGUAAUGUUGUAUGCGAUCGCUUAGAAAGUUAGUGUGUCUGACCAGGACCGCUCUUUAUAAUAUACUAGUAUAUUGUAGGACAGGGGAUGUAUAUAUAUAUAUAUAGUAGCUUCGUGCUCAUAUGUGCGUUUGCAUGCUAAUAUUGGCUUGCUUAUGCCUAUAUUUUAUAUCGGCGUGGCAGUGUCAUUUUUAGGGAUCGUAUAUAACGGUGUAUGAUGUCGCGAUGGAGACAUUCGGUGUAUACAUGCAACGCCCACGUGUUCUUUUAUACGUCAUCCAUUUUGUUAAAACCGUUCACGUUAUUACGGGUCCGCAGCUGUAUGCUCAAUGGAUCAGUUGUAUUGCAUUAUUAAAUGAAGCAUUAUCAGAAUACGGUUUCAGCUCCGUGCUCCCCUGACCAGGAUAAUCAGUUACAGGUGGGGAACAGCUCGAGCUGCUGGGUGCUGCGAUGCUUCUUUGUGUGACGACACCGUCCUGCAGGUGUCGGCAGAAGUCGUUGGACAGUGACGGGAUGCAGUGACAUUCAGCUCACCUGAUAAUGAUACGAAACAUAUUUACAGCCUGAGCCUAGCCCUGCACUCAAAGGAAUCAUGUGGUACACAAUGACUGUGUAGCUCUUAAUGACAGGACAGCUGCUAUGGAGUGAAACUUAAUGAACCACCUGAAUAUUUCUUCACGUAUUUUCUUCAUCCUACAUAUUAAGAACUUAUUAGCUGCUCAGAUUAAACAAAACAUGUUCAGAAAAAGUGUAUAAUCUGUCUUGGAAUUCACUGUCAACUGAAGUUUCCUUAUGGUGGAGAUGCGUAGGAAAUGAAUGGACGUCUUAUCUGUCUCCAAAAAUAAGUCACCAUUAUCAAAUAUAAAUGUAAACUCGUUAUCAAAAGGCUUGCUCAUUGUCACCAGCGUGGUUCCGCCAUGCCCGUCGUCAACAGCGUGGUACUACCAUGCCCAUCGUCACCAGCGUGGUUCCGUCAUGC